UUUUUGACGUGGCUUGUCGGCACACGCUUCGAUCCUACGUGUCAUUAACGUGGCUUGCCGGCAUAAGUUUCCGGCCGGCGAGCAAAACGCUGCGUUUUGAUCGCCAAGCUUUCUCUCUCCCUCCGCCCCUCAACCACUUUCUCCCUCUAGCAGCCACCAUCAUCUUCCCCCUCACCUCCACCAUGCUACGUCGCCGGCAAAGACUCCAUCGCACUCACAGUCGCCCACUCCGACGCCGACCUCCGCGGCCUCAUCGCCAACCACCCCAAAAACGCCGACAAUCUUUGCUAUCUCGUCCCAAGCUCUUCCACCGCCAAGCUCUCUCUCUCUCUCUCUCUUGCCGCCUCUACCACCACUUCUUCCACCGCCCUGCCUUCUCCACCGCCCUGCCUUCCCUCGCUCGCUCCAAUUCGGAACAGCAAAGGGCCCGUAGCCAAUCGGAGCCCUAACUCCCCAAACUCACCGCCUUUGCUCUGAAUCGGGGAGGACGGCGCGACGAUGAAGCUUCCAUUGGCGUCGGAGCUGGAGAAUCGCUGGUGGUGGUAGACUUCGUCUACUCGCUGGAGAGGGCGAAGGACGAGCGGCGAUUGAUUUGCAGAACGCGGCGGCGCUAAACCGAGGGAGGCGAUUUCUGAUUUGGAAAGUUAGGGCUUUCUAUUUCGUUGCUUCUUUUGACUUGAGAGAGAAGCGUAUUAACAGUGAGGGGAACUGAGGCAGCGACUCCGGCGGAAAUUAUGGAAGUGUUGGCGGCAUUUGGAGAAAGGAAAUUAGGGCCGACCUCGCCGGACCGAGACUGAGAGGAAGAACCGACCUCGCCGGACCUCAGAGCGGCGGCAGUAGCAGCCCCUAUCUCUCUCUCUCUCUAGUACAAAAUUAUGACGUGUCUGCCGGAAGACACGUCAUUGCCACGUGGUUAUGCCGGAAAAUAAAUCAGUGCUAAAAUUGAACACGGAGCAAAGGUAGUCAUAUUAAUUGGAACUUUUUAAAGUCGUGCUAAAUUUGGAAUUCGACCUAAGUUCAUGAUAUUACAUGCAUUUAACCCUUAAUAAAAUAAUCCAUCAAAAUCAAGUGUUUAGUUUACAUGAUAAAGUCUGUGAUUGAUAAUUAUUAAUUUGACUUGUAUCUAAUCACUCAAAUUAAUGAUUGUUUAAUUAUCACCUUAAAGUUGAGUGGAUUAUUUAAUCACUCCUCCAAUCCUAUCAAUCUUAUCUAUCACACCUACCAAAUCAAACGAGUGUUUAUUUUUCAAAAUUAAUUUAAAUAAAUAAAAAUAGUAGUAUAAAUUAUUUAUUAUUAUUAAGAUAGCUAGAUUAGAACUUUGAAAUAUCUUAAGAAAUACUUUUUAGAUGGUUUUAUUCGAUGAGUUCCCAAUCCUCAUUUUGAAGACAGAUUCUUAAUUAAUUGAGUGAUUUUGGACGACAUGAUCGUAUUGAAAUUCGUCCAAUUGUUUUUAUUCCUCACGUUAUUUGAUAACUCUAAGAAUAUCAUUAACACUUUCUUUUCGCAGGAAGAAGAAAAUAUCUAAGAAGAAAAAGUCAAACAAUUAAGCUUUUGCAGAUUCAAACUUAGAGUGCUUGUCAUAACAUGUAAGAAAACCUAAUCAGUUGAUGAAAAAGUUGUCGAAUUUCUUCCUAUUUUAAGAAAAUAUUCAUCAAGAAACGCCUUGUUUUGUAUAUAUAUUUUCUUUUCAUUCUUUCUCGUCUUAUCCAUCUACUUAUCAUAAUAGCUUUAAUAUCUUUCAGACAAGUGACGAGACAUGGCCUAGAUUAAAAAAAGGAGUUGUUGAUGAAAUUUGAGUAAACAAAAACUCUUUCGAGAAAAAUCUUUCGUAAUUGGAUGAAACAAAAAUUAUUGAUUAAGGUAACCUAUAUGGCAACAACAACACCCUUUUUUGGCAGUGACGAAUACCAAAAUAUUCAAUUACCAAGUUUCUUUUAGGGUAGUCCACAUGAUUUGCUAGCCUAAUUAAAGUAUUUAACAAAUGAGGUGGUGUAUAUCAUGUGAAAUAUAUACUCAACGCAAUAUUUACUUUUUAGGUGUAUACUACUCGCUUCAUUCCAUUAUUAAUGUCACGUAUUCUAUUUUGAAUUGUCCAAAAUUACAUGAUCUAUUUCUUUCCUGCUCCACCCGCGUCGCAAGCCUUUGCCACUGCCCUCACGCCCCCCACCGUCCCUACUCCAGCUCCCUCAACCUCGUGCCAGAUCUGUCCGCUGUCCACCUCAUCCGAGUCAAACCCUAGUAGCGGCGUGAUGCCUGCUUUGACCGCCGUCCACCCCAUCCUAGUGAAACCAUAAAAUUUUGCUAGAAGAAUAAGAAAUAGUGAUUUUUUUUUUUUGCAAAAGAAAGAAGAAAUUUUGUGUUGUUGUUGUGAGUAAUUUUUUUAUCUUUCUGUUGUGAGCAGGGAUGUCAAUCUAGCCCGAAACCCCUGGGCCGGCUCGAUUAACCCGCUAAUCCGGAAGGAUUAGAGCUAAAAAUUUUCAACUUGGUAGAAAUUACAACCCGACUAGCCCGUAACCGAAUAGUCUGGCUCCCGAUAGGAUCGAUCCGAAAUUAACUCGAAACCCUAUAAGGCUGACUCGAAAAUAAUGUGAUGCUUGAUUAUAUGAAAAUUUUCUUAUUAUAUGAUUUAACUUCAUUACUUAUGAAAAUUAGUAUAAUAAGAUAUAUUUUUUUCAAAAGUUUGUGAAAUGUAUUUUGAUUCAAUAUUAGAAAUUAUGUAUUAGAAAGUUAUACUCAUCAUUUCACUUCUUUGUAUUUUUAAUCCAAUACUUAACAUAAAAUGUUAGAUGUAAAAAUUAAAAAAUGGUACUCCUUCCGUCCCAAUAAUGAAGACUUCAUUUGGGCACGGAGAUUAAGGAUAGUUAGAUUAGGGAGUUAAGUGUAGAUUUUAAAUAUAUUUAAAUCCUAUUGACUUCAUUUUAAAGGGUAUUAAUUUUCUCUCCCCUCUGUAAUCAUACGCAACUUCUCACUCUCUCAUCUUCUCUCCCACCGUCUUCCUCUCUCUCCUCUGCUACAUCACCGUAGCACCGCUUCACUUCCUCGAAGGAAUCGCCGCCGGCCACCACCACCAACGUCCUUCUAUCUCCCUCACAAACCUAUUAUUCCUCUCCUAAAACUGAAUCGAAAAUAAAACUAAAAAACCGAUCUCCCAUUUAUGUUGUCAAAGUUUCGAUAAUAGAGAAAAACCCAUGAAAUUAUUGGUUUUGAUAGAGUAGAUUGAAGAUGAUUGGCAGAGAAUGGAGAAAUGAUAGGAUGAUUUUUGUGAUUGGUGAUGAAUGACGACACACAAUAGUGGUUCUCUCCUAAUGGACACAAUCUUAUAAAAUCAAAAAGUAGCACAAAAAACAGAUCUAAAAGAGAACCAGAACAACCAAAUUCUCAAACCCAAUUUCAAUUCCCAACAUAGAGCCUUCUCAUUUGAGGCCUAGGGUUUCAAAUCGUGGCAAUGGGGGGGGGGUGCGACCUCUCUGUUGAGUCAAGGAGUGAGAAGAGUGAGACGAAGAUUGUGGUUGUACAGUCGCUGAAAACCUGGAAAAGUGGCGACCGCGAUUUGGGACCUAAGGUUCCAGGCGACGGUGGUGGGGGUAGCGACCUCCGUGUGAAGUUCAACGACGCCUCCGCCGCCCUAGAACCAGAUCUGCCACUAUCUUCCUCGUCAGUGUGUGUGCGAGUGGUCAGAGGCUCGUCGAAGGGGCGGCGGGUUUUCGGUGGUCGGAGAGACGAGGGGUGCUCGGCGGUGGUCGUGGCUCGCCGGCGACGACUUGGCCGAGAAGGGGGAGAAGAGAAGGAGCGAGGUGAAGAGAGUGAGAGAUGUGUUCAGAAAUUAGAGGUUUUUUGUAACAUAUUCAUACAGUAAUUAAGGUGAAAUUAAUAGAUAUUCUUAAGCCCUAAUUAUUUCCUUAUUUAGAAGUGUGUCUUUAUUAUUGGGACAACCCAAUAAGGAAAGUGUGUCUUUAUUAUUGGGACGGAGGGAGUACUUAUUUACUUAUUUAAUAAAAAUAUCAUAUCUUUAUAUCUCUAAAACUUGCAUAUUAGUUAUAUAAGUCGAUGUUGAAAUGUUAUUUAUUACAAAUAUAAUAUUGUCAAAAAAAUAUGUACUCCCUCCGUCCACGAAAUGAGUACCCAUAUUUCCUUUUUCGUCCGUCCACGAAAUGAGUACCCAUUUCCCUUUUUGGCAAGUGUACCCCACACAUCUCUUUAAUUAAUACACUCAAAAAGUAGGACCCUUAAACUAUUCACACUACACUCCAUACAUUUCUUAAAACCCGUGCCGUCCACAAAUGGGUACUCAUUUCGUGGACGGAGGGAGUAUUAGUUAAUUUUUUUAAAAUAAAUUUUUGAGCCCGACUGAUGGGCUAGCCUGAAACCCGAAUAUUUAGGGUUAGGGUUGAAAUUUCUAAUCCAAUUUUUUUCCAAUCCAAUUAGUCUGCACCCGAAUAACUCGUAAUUCGAUAGGGCUAGCCCAAAAUUCGAUGGGUUGGCCUGAUUGAUAUCCCUAAUUGUGAGUAAAAUUUUGAUCUUUCUCAGAAAUUGUGUUAUUGUUGAUCUUGUUGAUCAAUAAAGUUUAAUAUUGCUUUUGAUCUUGAGAGAAUCCAUUCCAUAUUGUUGUCGAUCUUGUUGAGUAAAAUUUUAAUUAAUCACCUAAUGGAAUAUCAUUAUCCUUAAUUUUAUUCUCCUUAAUCUCCAUGCCGCAAAGGCAUGUGCCAUGAAUAACGAGACAGAUCAGAGAGAAUAGUCUGUAAUUAAAAAUACGAGUUUCAAUGGAGUUUCACUUUAAGCGGCAAUUUAAAAAUAAAAUUUUAAAAAUAAGUUCAUAUUUUGGAAGGGUUUAGAAUUUUUUAGUCGCGGGAAAAUGACUGAAAAUUCCGGUAGUUAAUAUUAUAUAUUUUUUAAAUAUUAUAUAUAUAUAUAUAUANAAAUUUUUUUUAACGACCGAAAUUUCGGUCGUUAAUAUCAAUUUUUAAAAUAUUUUUAAAAAUAAGUCGCUAAUACUUUUUUUUUAUUUUUUUUACUAUUCGAUUGUUAAUAUUUAUUUUUUUAUUUUUAAAUUAUUUUUAUAUUUUAUUCUUAUUUUAAAAUCAAUGAGAAUUUUUUAAAAUCGGUCGUUAUUUUUUAACAACAAUAUUAACUUUAAUUUGUAAAAAAAAUAGAUAAUUGCAUAUAAAUACACGAAUUUUGGCCAAAAUUUAUUUCUGACGCGUACUUAAAAAAAUUCAAUAAAAUACAUGAACUUUAGUUGUUGUUCAAUUUUUACUUCGAUUCAUUUUCCCCAAGUUAAAAAGUGACAUUGAGUCGAUAUGGCUUAUCAAACAUGACAUGGCGUCUACAUGGAGUGUAUGUGUCUCAUCGUGAUCAAAAUUCAACAACUAAUAAAGUUCAUGUAUUUUAUUGAACUUGUUUAAGUACAUGUCAAAAAUAAAUUUUGGUCAAAAUUGGUGUGUUUAGAUGCAAUUAACCCAAAAAUAAAAAAAUUAACGGUUGAGAGUAAAUUUUGAAGUGCAUAAUGAAACGAGUCAAGGGAUUUUUUAGGACAAUAACUUAUGUUAAUUUGGAAAUUAGGACAAAAACUUUCGGACUUGUAAAAAUAGGACACUAAUUUUUUUUUAGAGUAAAAUAGGACACUAAUUAAUAAACGUCGUAAAAAUGGGACAUUUCUCGACCGAUAAUUGGCCGAAAAAUAUCCUGCGGAUACAACACUUAUUUUAAAAUUCGUCGAGUGCAAAAUCAGAAAGAAUACAAAGUUCAAGCAUUUAAAGACAUAUUUUAAAAUUGAGGUGCAAAAUCAGAAAAUGAGAAAAAUUAUAAUAUUUACAGGUCAAUACCCAAAAAAAAUAAAUCAAUCUCUAAUCGGUCGCUAACAUCACAUUUUUAACAAUAAAAAAAUUGAUCUUUAAAUUCGAUCCUUAAUCACUAGAAGAAACAUCCUCAUUAAUGACUAAAUUUAGCAACCGAACUUUUUGUGUAUUCUUUAAAAUUUGGUCACAAUUAUUUUCAGAGACUAAGUCUCUGGGAAAACAGAGAAACCUAUCAAAGUAGAUAUUGUAAAUACAACGAUUUAUAUAUUUUGCUCAAAACAUUAAAUUCAAUUAUUGGUUAAUCAAGUAAUGUUUGGCUAAAUUUUAAAGAAUACUAAAAAAAAAAAAAAAAAAUAGUGUGGACCGAUUAGAGACAGGGACAUAUCCCGGGUAUCCAGCAAAAACUCGUGUGACGUGUAUUACACAGACUUGGAGCUUUCAAAAAAAAAAUAUUUGUCUUAAAUUCAGAAUAAAUGUUUUUUCGCCAUAUAAUGUUAUACUAGUAAAACAAGAAAAGAAUUAUUUUAUUCGAUCGUGAGUUGUAUUUCUCCUUAUGAAAGUGUAGUCUUAUUCCAUUCUGAUUGGGACGAGAGGUUUUGGGGCAUCUUAAGCAUGUCAAAAUGGGACCCCAAUUCCUUGCGUUUUGUGUAAUAUUUGUCUUGAGACAUGACAAUCUUGUUGGACGAUGGCGAGUGUACAUCUGGAUUAUACUAUACUAUUUUUUUUCAGAACCAAAUGGAUUAAAUGCAAUAUUUAUUCAAUUUAAUGUGAUUUUAUGCGGAUAAAGUAGAAAUUUAGAAUUUUGUGGUCUAGUAGCGAGUAGCUGUAGUUAUGUGCUCUAAUAACUAAAGAGAUCGUGAAAUUCGAAUUUUGUUAAAUUUCAGGUUGAGUGGAAUACAUUGUUUGUGAGAAUAGGAGAACCAUCAAAUCUAAUACAUUCACUGUAAAAAUUAAUGCAUUCGCUGUUAAAAUUAAUGCACUAAAAAAAUUAAAAAAAUAUGCUCCCUUCAGAAUUCGAACCCAGGUUCUAUAUAUAUAUAUAUAUAUAUAUGGGGCUGCUCGAAUGAGACCCCCUAAUUUUAGUGAGAUCUAGGGCACGAUUUGGUGCGUUUAUUUUAUCAAUCCUGUGGCUGAUAUUGUAUCUGGAGGGUGAUUUUUUUCCGCAGGGUUCGAAUCCUGGAGGGAGCAGAAUAUUUUAAAUUUUGUUAUUCAUAAGUAUAUACUGCAUUGUUCAUCGGUAUAUAUGUCUUAUUCAUUACGAAUUUUUUUUUUUAAAAAAAAUUUCAUCAGUAUAUACAUCUCGUUCAUUAGAUAUACGUUUUGUUCAUUAGUAUAAUAUGUCUUAUUCAUUGUACUCAUGUUACACGAAAAAUAGGGGGUCUCAUUGGAGCGCGCCCUAUAUAUAUGCUAAAUUCUAUAAAUAGUAUUUUUUUUCAAUCAUUUAUUAAUAUACCCAUAUUUAACUCUUUGAUUCUCAAUCAUUUAUUAAUGUACCCAUAUUAUAUGCUAAAUUCUAUCAAUAAUAUUCACCCUAUUUUAGAACUUGUGCUCUGAGUUCAGUCUUUUUCUUUUUUAGAACUGUUGUGUGAUUUUGGCACCAUCAAAAAGGGAAAAAUUGUUGGGAACUUAAUGAAAUAUCCUAAUCCUUGUUUUGGUGAUCCCAAAAUCAAUAGGUUUCUUUUGUAAUAGACUAGAACUGCUUGAACUCAAGUGUUAGAGUUCUUUUUCUAGUUUAGCUUGUUGUUCUGAAGACUGAAGACUGGAGAACGAAGGACUGAAGACUGAAGUUGCCGACUGAAGCAACAGUCGAAGAAUCAGUUUUGAACUGAUUACUUAAUGCGUGCCACUGGAAUUAGCGGACUGAUACUAAAGUCAAGUAUCAGUUAAACAUUCUUCCUCGGACUGAACCUCCAACGUUCAAAGAAAGCCACGCACUCCAGAAGUACAGCCGCAUUAAAUGCAGAGAUCUCAGGAUCGUCCUUUCUCUGCAAAGGUCAUUCCUCUUGGUGAUUACUUUUUCAGAGAUGUCGCAUCUCUGCUCUUCAAGAUAGCGUUCUCACCAAAUAAGGAACCUCGAAAUUGAAGCUCAGUCCAAGUUCAAAUUACUCUCUAACGGAAGAAAUCUUGAAGACCUUCUCCGCCAACGGAUCUAUUCAAGACUUCUCCUUUAAAUAGCGCUCGAGGAUCACUUCAAUCUUCACCGAUUCAACGACAUAAGCUGAAACUCUGCCGAAAUUGUUUCUCAGCCUAAGCCCAGACUCUCAAAAGUUUGAAUCGAAGAAGAGAAUCCCAAAGCCAAAAAUCAGUCACUGCUGAUUACAUAAAUUCUCUUAGACCUUAGGCAAACCUCGUUUAUCCAAAGCCUAGGUCAAACUAACUGCAAAUAACUUGNUUUUUGAAGUUUAGUUGGCAAGUUUUUCAAACCUCCCUUCGACCGACAGAAUCGAGUGUUUGAGUUGUAAAGGAGUUCAGGAAGGUACUCUGUCUCCGUGAGAUCCUAGUGCCCAGUGCGUGCUAGGAGUGAGAAAUCCAACAAGGUGUGUCGGUACUGAAGAUUGGAUCUUCAGUUGUUUCGGUUGUGUGCACCCGCAAGCACACGUUCAGGUUUGCUAUGCACCCGUAAGCACGAGCAUCGGUUUGCAGUGCACCCGUAAGCACUUGCAGAGUGAAGUUGUUGAUCUAAUCAACCGACCGUGGAUGUAGGAAGUGUUUUCCGAACCACGUAAAAAUUUCUGUGUUAUUUACAGCUUUCAGUAUUUACGUUCUUACUUGUGCUCUUCCUUUUGUAAACUGAAAACUGAUUAAUUGCAAAGAGAAAGUUAAGACUAACAACGUGCUCAACUCAAAGGCUAUUACGGAACAAAAAGUUUUCUGCUGCGUGUGUUAUCAGUCUGACUGAUAUAUCUUCUGAUAGUCUGUAAGAUUCAUAACAUCUCUGUUUAUCAAACUCGACUGAAGCCUUACAUGCAUCAGUUAAGUUCUUUUGAGUUAACUGAUAACUCCUUACUGAAGAGCUUUCAGUAUCAGUCGUCAACCCUAUUUUGGUCAAAACUCUUUUCAGUAAACAGGUGUCUGUGUUUGUGUUUAAAGUUUCGUUUUGAUCUCUGUGUUAAGAUCGAAAAAUAGCCUAUAGGUGUAUUCCCCCCCCUAUACACCUACUCGAGACCCUCCGGACCUAACAAUUGUUCAAUAUGACUAUCUCAAAAGUUGGCUCAUAUACUCCCCCGUCUCAAUGAUAAUGACUCAUUUUCUUUUUUAGUUUGUCCCAUUGAUAAUGGCCUGUUUCAUAAAAGGAAACCAUCUUCUCUCACAAAUAAGUGUGCGCUCCACAACUUUCUAUCACUUUUAUCCUUAAAUCACUCUUCUUCUUAAUAAUCAUGCCCCAAAGUAAUGAGCCAUUAUCAAUGAAAUGGAGGGAGUAUUAAAGUAGAGAAAUAGAAUAUUAUUUAAUUACCGAAAUUCUUUAUCAUUUUUAGGGUAAAUGAACUACCAACCAAACAUAUCGUUUUAAGGGCAUUUUUGUCAGUUCAUUCUCUUCCAUUGUUAGACCAUCUGCAACCUCCUAUAUUUUAUCUCCAAUCUCUAUUUCAGAGGUUAUUUUGUUGCACUUUAUUAUUAUUAUUAUUAUUAUUAUUAUUAUUAUUAUUAUUAUUAUUAUUAUUAUUAUUAUUAUUAUAAAUAGACUUAAUUAAAAAGUAAUCUAUAAUAUUUAAUCUAUUCCGUAAAAAAAUAGACUAAUUAAAAAAGUAUCUAUUGAAAAAAAAUUGUUACUCCCUCCGUCCCAUUGGGCUUGUCCCAUUUGGUUUCAGCACGGUUAUUAAGGAGAAUAUUAUUAGUGUUACCUAUCCAAUUGCAUAUAUCGCACAUACAAAAAGCAGCAAACGUGCAACACAAAGUAUCAACGAAAGUAACGACACUGAACACAAGAGUUGUUCACCCAGUUCGGUUAAACAACCUACGUCUGGGGGGCCACGCCCAGGGUAAAUUAUCCACUAGUGAAGAUAAGAUAUUUACAGGACUUAUGCGACAGACUCUCUAGCCUUCUAGCCUCAAUAUCUUCCCAAACCCUCACAACGAUGAAUAAUUGAGAGAAGAACGACAAUCAACUCUCUAAGCGUGAAUACUACACAUUCACCACCUAAACCCAUGAAAAUAUCAUCCACCAACAGGCUGGAGAAAGCAACAAACGAAUAAGAAAAUACUACCCCAACAGAUUGCUCAAUAAACCCACGAAAAAGCAAUCGAACAAGAUCACACACACUCACGAAAUUGUAUGAUCUGAAACCCACGAAAUUACUCUCCAAUAUGUAGAAGAAUAUCAAUGAAAUCAGCCACCAAAAACGUCCUCCUUCUCUUCCUUAAAUAGACAAACCCUAGAAAGAGUUAUAUCUUGAGUAGAACUCUAAUAACGAUGAUAUACUCAAUCUAUAAUUAUAAUCCCUCAAUAUUUCGAGCAUAUUGCUGAUAUAAUGUGAGAUAUAUCCAUAAGAGACGUGAUAUACUCAAACACUAAUAAGCUGGAAAAUCGCAAAGCUGCUGCUGGAAACCUGCACAAGAAAGUAUCAGCCAAAGUACCAGACACUGAAUGGUACUUUGCUUGUAAUCGUAUCUGAACAUCCUGAGAUACUUCUGGUACAUUGUCUACAUAAUGACAACAAAACUUAGAGUAUAAAAAUACUCUAACAGUAAUAAAAAUAUAAAAUUGAUAAAGUAGGAGAUGUAAGGUGAUAAAGUAGGAAAGAGAAUGUAAUAAAGUGAUAAAGUAGGAGAGAUAAGAUGAUAAAGUAGGAAAAAGAAUGUGAAAGAGUGAUAAAGUAUGAGAGAGAAUGUAAUUAAGAAUUAUUAUUGUUUAGUUAAUUGUUGUCAUUUAUAGAAAUGGGACAAGAUCGCGGGACAAACAAAAAAGGAAUACGGGACAAGAUCAAUGGGACGGAAGGAGUAUAUAAUAGAUCAGAUGAUUAGAGACGAAAUUAAAAAAAUGCGUUAUUUUAGUGUUAAAAUUAUUAUUAUUAUUAUUAUUAUUAUUAUUAUUAUUAUUAAUUGUAGUGUUUAUUUUGCAUUAAUUAUAAUAUAUUUAAUCUAUUAAUAAAAAAAUAGACUAAUUAAAAAAGUAUCUAUUGAAAAAAAAUUGUUGUAUAAUAGAUCAGAUGAUUAGAGACGAAAUUAAAAAACUGCGUUAUUUUAGUGUUAAAAUUGUUGUAUUAUUGUGCUGAGCAUUGGAGAUGCUCUUAGAGAGUUUCUCAUCCCCGACCCAUACCUUCUCUGUCUUUUUGUUUUUAUUUUCACUUGCAAAUCAUACCAGAAAAGCAAAUCAUAUUUAAAAAAAAAUUAUUUGUGAUAAAUUUGAACUUAUAAAAACGUUAAUGCAAUUUAAACCUCAUGUUUUUCACUUAAAAUUACAAAAUAUUGGCUCAAACCGUCAAUGGGUUAUACUUGAGACGGAAUGACCAUUUUCAGCCGUUACCGCCGGUUAUAAUAACACUUGAUUGUGUUCACACAUAAUUAAUACUUGAAAAUAAAUACUCUCUCGAUUUUUAAAAUAAGUCUCAUAUUACAGAGUUUUUUUUUUUAAUCCCCUUUUAAGUGUCAUAUUAUAUAAUCUUAUAGUAUAAUUGAGUUCAAUUUUCAAUUUUACUCAUGUCUUAAUAUUAGAAACUAAUACAUUCUCCUCAUUCUUCACACAAUAGAGAGAGAAG
RNAcentral lists this long non-coding RNA (11491 nucleotides) under Salvia miltiorrhiza (redroot sage). Its description in RNAcentral is "long non-coding RNA (SMIL_LNC010773)". The record is from RNAcentral. Lineage: Eukaryota; Viridiplantae; Streptophyta; Magnoliopsida; Lamiales; Lamiaceae.